CUUCCCACCUUAAGAGAAUUCUAUGUUAUAUCAGUUAGUCAUUUCUUAAUAACAAAAGCGCGGUCUUCAGUGAAAAAGAUUGAAUGAUGUAACGAUGCAAGAGUAACCAGUUUAUUUCAGAUUACAUUUUCACGAAAAGUAAGAUUUACGUCUAGUGAAUAUCGACUCCUAUGUCGAUUCAUUAUACUUAUGCUAUCUGUCAGUUUCUUAAGACUGAAUAGCGCUGAAGAAUCAUUUUGGCCGGAAAUGGAGAGCGUUUACUUCAGACACUCCGCUCUGUUAUGAUUACGUUGAGAGGUAACACCAAAAUCAGAGAAAAAAGACUCGCUGUCAGAAACUUCAUCCUCAGGCUGACGAGACUGGCACUGUUUCCCGCGUUAUGUUUCCGAUGGGGCUGUGGAAUAACUUUCUUAAAGUCGUCUUGCUAUCCAGCGUUCUUCUUCCCGGAGCAGAAACUCACUACAUGCUGAAUCGUAGAGAUGAGCAUUCAACUGAAAGUUGAUGGAAAUGUUGACUGGAGAGUUGUUGAACGAUGCAUUGGUGAAUAGUCCACCUAGAGCUGUUGCUGUUAGACCAUCGCUACCGUUAUUAAUUGUUGUGUUAUUGCCGACUACUGAUGGAAGUGCCAGAUUGUUCACAUUAAUUUUUCGCAAAGCUUAAGUGCGUGGACUGUCGCUGGCGUUGGCGGCUGUGAAGGUCGUAGUAGUACGACUAACAACUCUGCCAACUUGCUUGACAUCCCUCGUUGUUUUUCUAAAUGAUUAUGGCUGUAGGUGGAUAUUGAACAGGCG
Long non-coding RNA from Stylophora pistillata, 791 nucleotides. Lineage: Eukaryota; Metazoa; Cnidaria; Anthozoa; Scleractinia; Pocilloporidae. The record is from RefSeq and is a predicted model, not a curated record.